Long non-coding RNA from Gallus gallus (chicken), 310 nucleotides. RefSeq lists it as uncharacterized. NCBI's taxonomy places the organism in Eukaryota, Metazoa, Chordata, Aves, Galliformes, Phasianidae. The transcript has 2 exons. The record is from RefSeq and is a predicted model, not a curated record.
AGACCCGGUCAGCCCUGGGAGCACAGGUGAAGGCAAUUCACAUGUGAGACAGGAGGGGGUGCAGCCUGGCUACACCUCUCUUAGACUUCAUUUAAGGGCUGACUGAAACUAGAGAAAGAUUUCUUUCUAGAGAUCCCUCCUUGGUGAAUCUCUCCCCUACAAACCUAGAAUCUUCUGAUAUGGCAAGCCUGCAAUUAUUGCUGCAUCUGAAGGUCAAUUCUUUGGCAUUACUGCAACACGUUCCAAACAGCUGAUGUCAGCAUUCCUUCCUAUGGAGCCUGACACUGGAUUGGUAACUGAAAUGAAGAAG